RNAcentral lists this ribosomal RNA (1530 nucleotides) under Bacteroides thetaiotaomicron. RNAcentral describes it as "bacterial SSU rRNA". It matches the Rfam family "Bacterial small subunit ribosomal RNA". Lineage: Bacteria; Pseudomonadati; Bacteroidota; Bacteroidia; Bacteroidales; Bacteroidaceae. The record is from RNAcentral.
ACAAUGAAGAGUUUGAUCCUGGCUCAGGAUGAACGCUAGCUACAGGCUUAACACAUGCAAGUCGAGGGGCAGCAUUUCAGUUUGCUUGCAAACUGGAGAUGGCGACCGGCGCACGGGUGAGUAACACGUAUCCAACCUGCCGAUAACUCGGGGAUAGCCUUUCGAAAGAAAGAUUAAUACCCGAUGGUAUAAUCAGACCGCAUGGUCUUGUUAUUAAAGAAUUUCGGUUAUCGAUGGGGAUGCGUUCCAUUAGGCAGUUGGUGAGGUAACGGCUCACCAAACCUUCGAUGGAUAGGGGUUCUGAGAGGAAGGUCCCCCCACAUUGGAACUGAGACACGGUCCAAACUCCUACGGGAGGCAGCAGUGAGGAAUAUUGGUCAAUGGGCGCAGGCCUGAACCAGCCAAGUAGCGUGAAGGAUGACUGCCCUAUGGGUUGUAAACUUCUUUUAUAUGGGAAUAAAGUUUUCCACGUGUGGAAUUUUGUAUGUACCAUAUGAAUAAGGAUCGGCUAACUCCGUGCCAGCAGCCGCGGUAAUACGGAGGAUCCGAGCGUUAUCCGGAUUUAUUGGGUUUAAAGGGAGCGUAGGUGGACAGUUAAGUCAGUUGUGAAAGUUUGCGGCUCAACCGUAAAAUUGCAGUUGAUACUGGCUGUCUUGAGUACAGUAGAGGUGGGCGGAAUUCGUGGUGUAGCGGUGAAAUGCUUAGAUAUCACGAAGAACUCCGAUUGCGAAGGCAGCUCACUGGACUGCAACUGACACUGAUGCUCGAAAGUGUGGGUAUCAAACAGGAUUAGAUACCCUGGUAGUCCACACAGUAAACGAUGAAUACUCGCUGUUUGCGAUAUACAGUAAGCGGCCAAGCGAAAGCAUUAAGUAUUCCACCUGGGGAGUACGCCGGCAACGGUGAAACUCAAAGGAAUUGACGGGGGCCCGCACAAGCGGAGGAACAUGUGGUUUAAUUCGAUGAUACGCGAGGAACCUUACCCGGGCUUAAAUUGCAUUUGAAUAUAUUGGAAACAGUAUAGUCGUAAGACAAAUGUGAAGGUGCUGCAUGGUUGUCGUCAGCUCGUGCCGUGAGGUGUCGGCUUAAGUGCCAUAACGAGCGCAACCCUUAUCUUUAGUUACUAACAGGUCAUGCUGAGGACUCUAGAGAGACUGCCGUCGUAAGAUGUGAGGAAGGUGGGGAUGACGUCAAAUCAGCACGGCCCUUACGUCCGGGGCUACACACGUGUUACAAUGGGGGGUACAGAAGGCAGCUACCUGGUGACAGGAUGCUAAUCCCAAAAGCCUCUCUCAGUUCGGAUCGAAGUCUGCAACCCGACUUCGUGAAGCUGGAUUCGCUAGUAAUCGCGCAUCAGCCAUGGCGCGGUGAAUACGUUCCCGGGCCUUGUACACACCGCCCGUCAAGCCAUGAAAGCCGGGGGUACCUGAAGUACGUAACCGCAAGGAGCGUCCUAGGGUAAAACUGGUAAUUGGGGCUAAGUCGUAACAAGGUAGCCGUACCGGAAGGUGCGGCUGGAACACCUCCUUU